GACGAGGUGGCCCGAGUGGUUAAGGCGUUUGGAAUGCUAAUCCAAUGUGCCUCUGGCACGCGUGGGUUCGAAUCCCAUCCUCGUCG
This is a non-coding RNA of Desmophyllum pertusum, 86 nucleotides long. Lineage: Eukaryota; Metazoa; Cnidaria; Anthozoa; Scleractinia; Caryophylliidae. The record is from the annotation of a GenBank genome assembly.